This 497-nucleotide ribosomal RNA is filed under the name uncultured bacterium. RNAcentral describes it as "partial 16S ribosomal RNA". It matches the Rfam family "Bacterial small subunit ribosomal RNA", at positions 28 to 507 of the family's 1533-position model. The record is from RNAcentral.
GAUGAACGCUGGCGGCGUGCCUAAUACAUGCAAGUCGAGCGAACAGACGAGGAGCUUGCUCCUCUGACGUUAGCGGCGGACGGGUGAGUAACACGUGGAUAACCUACCUAUAAGACUGGGAUAACUUCGGGAAACCGGAGCUAAUACCGGAUAAUAUAUUGAACCGCAUGGUUCAAUAGUGAAAGACGGUUUUGCUGUCACUUAUAGAUGGAUCCGCGCCGCAUUAGCUAGUUGGUAAGGUAACGGCUUACCAAGGCAACGAUGCGUAGCCGACCUGAGAGGGUGAUCGGCCACACUGGAACUGAGACACGGUCCAGACUCCUACGGGAGGCAGCAGUAGGGAAUCUUCCGCAAUCGGCGAAAGCCUGACGGAACAACGCCGCGUGAGUGAUGAAGGUCUACGGAUCGUAAAACUCUGUUAUUAGGGAAGAACAAAUGUGUAAGUAACUAUGCACGUCUUGACGGUACCUAAUCAGAAAGCCACGGCUAACUACGUG